UCGGCGCAGCAAUAAAAACUAACCAGGAUUCCCUUAGUAACGGCGAGUGAAGUGGGAAAUAUACUAGUUCAUCCCAACGAUAGAAUCCAUUCUUAGCUGGCUAAGCUUCUGUUUUCCAGCUGGAAGGAAUUGUAGCAUCGUAAUAACACACAUUCUUCAAAAUUAAAUUUGUGUUGUAUCUACUCAACGUAAAAAAUUAUUAUUUUUAUCGCGGCAACGUAAUAAAAACUACAUACUUUACCCAAACACACAGCGUUUAGCGCUGGAAAGCAAGUCUAUAUCAUGCCAUAGAGUGUGACAGCCACGUUUGCCAUUGGUAAACUCACGUAGCACGCAUAUAAUUUUUUUUACAAGAUACGUAAUUCAUAAAUUAUGAGACACUCAUAAACCCUGAGUCGAGUUAUUUGGGACUACAGCUCAAAUUGUUUGGUGGUGGUAAUGACACAUCAAAGGCUAAAUAUUGGUGUUUUAUACGAUUGCAACGAGACCGAUAGCAAACAAGUACCGUAAGGGAACGAUGAAAAGCACCCUUUUUAGCACGUGCAUCAC
RNAcentral lists this ribosomal RNA (549 nucleotides) under Glabratella milletti. Its description in RNAcentral is "partial large subunit ribosomal RNA". It matches the Rfam family "Eukaryotic large subunit ribosomal RNA", at positions 47 to 395 of the family's 3401-position model. The record is from RNAcentral. Lineage: Eukaryota; Foraminifera; Rotaliida; Glabratellidae.